GACGAAGCCCUGGGUCGCAAACGGGAUUAGAUACCCCGGUAGUCCAGGGUGUAAACGCUGCAGACUUGGUGUUGGGGACCCUUUGGGGGUGUUCAGUGCCGGAGAGAAGUUGUUAAGUCUGCUACUUGGGGAGUACGUCCGCAAGGAUGAAACUUAAAGGAAUUGGCGGGGGAGCACCGCAACGGGAGGAACGUGCGGUUUAAUUGGAUUCAACACCGGAAAACUCACCAGCAGCGACUAUUACAUGAAAGUCAGGCCGAUGACCUUACUAGAUUUUUAGAGAGGUGGUGCAUGGCCGUCGUCAGUUCGUACCGUAAGGCGUUCUCUUAAGUGAGAUAACGAACGAGACCCUC
This 353-nucleotide ribosomal RNA is filed under the name uncultured archaeon. Its description in RNAcentral is "bacterial SSU rRNA". It matches the Rfam family "Archaeal small subunit ribosomal RNA", at positions 703 to 1055 of the family's 1478-position model. The record is from RNAcentral.